ACAACGCGGUUCACCUUUCACGGGUUCGCUGUUUCACAAAAAAAUAAAAAUGUAUGCAGAUUUUUUUUUUAGGCUUUUUUUUUUUUAAACCGUGCAUUGUGUUUUGCAACCUGAUUGGCUAAGAGAUGUAGACCAAUGUCAACCUUUUUUGACUAAAGAUCUGCUUAACAAGCAGCAAACCUCCCGUGAUCAACCUGUUAGCGCACUGUUCCCGGGCCAGCCAACAGUCGGUGUAAAUCCCUCCAGCAUUUUUGAGGUCAUUCACAGGGCCCCGUCCCAGCGGGACAUGCCUGGAACGCCUUGCCAGGGAGGCGUCCAGGAUAAGAUA
Molecule: long non-coding RNA, 328 nt
Organism: Hippocampus comes (tiger tail seahorse)
Lineage: Eukaryota; Metazoa; Chordata; Actinopteri; Syngnathiformes; Syngnathidae
Exons: 2
Source: RefSeq, a predicted model, not a curated record